GACGAACCGAGCGAACGUUGUUCGGAAUCACUGGGCUUAAAGGGCGCGUAGGCGGGUGCUCAAGUCCGGGGUGAAAUCCCACAGCUCAACUGUGGAACUGCCUCGGAUACUGGGCGUCUCGAGGGUGGCAGGGGUAUGCGGAACUAUCGGUGGAGCGGUGAAAUGCGUUGAUAUCGAUAGGAACUCCGGUGGCGAAGGCGGCAUACUGGUCCACUUCUGACGCUGAGGCGCGAAAGCCAGGGGAG
Molecule: ribosomal RNA, 245 nt
Filed under: uncultured Zavarzinella sp.
Lineage: Bacteria; Pseudomonadati; Planctomycetota; Planctomycetia; Gemmatales; Gemmataceae
Description: partial 16S ribosomal RNA
Rfam family: Bacterial small subunit ribosomal RNA
Source: RNAcentral